AAUAUACUCCCUCCGUCCCAUAUUAAGUGACUCAAAUCUGUCUAAAUAUCAACAUAUCUAUAUACUAAAAUAUGUCUAGGUACAUGUAAUAUUUCGGCACUUAAUAUGGGACGGAGGGAGUAGACG
Brachypodium distachyon (stiff brome) is the source of this 126-nucleotide non-coding RNA. Lineage: Eukaryota; Viridiplantae; Streptophyta; Magnoliopsida; Poales; Poaceae. The record is from Rfam.